GGCGGCGUGCCUAAUACAUGCAAGUCGAGCGAACAGACGAGGAGCUUGCUCCUCUGACGUUAGCGGCGGACGGGUGAGUAACACGUGGAUAACCCACCUAUAAGACUGGGAUAACUUCGGGAAACCGGAGCUAAUACCGGAUAAUAUAUUGAACCGCAUGGUUCAAUAGUGAAAGACGGUUUUGCUGUCACUUAUAGAUGGAUCCGCGCCGCAUUAGCUAGUUGGUAAGGUAACGGCUUACCAAGGCAACGAUGCGUAGCCGACCUGAGAGGGUGAUCGGCCACACUGGAACUGAGACACGGUCCAGACUCCUACGGGAGGCAGCAGUAGGGAAUCUUCCGCAAUGGGCGAAAGCCUGACGGAGCAACGCCGCGUGAGUGAUGAAGGUCUUCGGAUCGUAAAACUCUGUUAUUAGGGAGGAACAAAUGUGUAAGUAACUAUGCACGUCUUGACGGUACCUAAUCAGAAAGCCACGGCUAACUACGUGCCAGCAGCCGCGGUAAUACGUAGGUGGCAAGCGUUAUCCGGAAUUAUUGGGCGUAAAGCGCGCGUAGGCGGUUUUUUAAGUCUGAUGUGAAAGCCCACGGCUCAACCGUGGAGGGUCAUUGGAAACUGGAAAACUUGAGUGCAGAAGAGGAAAGUGGAAUUCCAUGUGUAGCGGUGAAAUGCGCAGAGAUAUGGAGGAACACCAGUGGCGAAGGCGACUUUCUGGUCUGUAACUGACGCUGAUGUGCGAAAGCGUGGGGAUCAAAC
RNAcentral lists this ribosomal RNA (753 nucleotides) under uncultured Staphylococcus sp. RNAcentral's name for it is "bacterial SSU rRNA". It matches the Rfam family "Bacterial small subunit ribosomal RNA", at positions 38 to 773 of the family's 1533-position model. The record is from RNAcentral. Lineage: Bacteria; Bacillati; Bacillota; Bacilli; Caryophanales; Staphylococcaceae.